AUAACUUUGAAAUCAAACUAUAGAAACAAAAACUUUAUUUAAUAUCUGAAAGUGGACUAAAAAUACAAAAAUAAAGAAAAAAUGUGAGUGCUCUAUAAAAUCUAUCCUUUUCUCUUUUCUUCCCCUGUAGGCCCAUAGGGCAAUUCCCCAUGCAACAGCUCCAUUGCUGAUGUCUGUGUGGCAGCAAGUGACAUUACUGGCUCAUAUAAAUUAUCCUAAGGGUGGAUUGAUGGUUGUUAAAUCACUACUGAGUCACAUCUAUGUUCAUCCUAUAGAGUUGCAGAGCCUCUCUGAAGUCUAAAAUUCUGUCAUUUGAGUAGGAGCAAUCAAUGGCCACUACCUUACAUUCUGAUGCCUUCUCAGGAGAUGCAUUACACCAAUUUUUCAGGAUUUGAUUUUAGAAGAAUGAAGUUAUGAAUGUGAAGGGACAAACUAUUACCAAUGCAAAUUCAGCGAAUACAUAUGAUCAUGGUUAUUUACAUCAUCAAGGACUAUCUAUUAAAAUGAAGAGUAUCCCAAGUAAAACAAAACAAAGUCAGAAACCUGGGGAAUCAGAUUGUUUAUGUCGUUAACUGGAAAGUUAUGAAAUGGGCCAGAAGACUGGAUUUACAAUUCUUGGGGACAAGAAAUAGAUCCAAAAAUGAAAAUGCUGAGGGAAGCAAAUCAUUUAGAAAAAAAUGUCCCUGGGAUAUCAAGAAAUUUCUUGGGAAAUAAAACAAGUGGAAUCAUUCCAUC
Molecule: long non-coding RNA, 735 nt
Filed under: Pan troglodytes (chimpanzee)
Lineage: Eukaryota; Metazoa; Chordata; Mammalia; Primates; Hominidae
Description: lncRNA (ENSPTRG00000053985.1)
Source: RNAcentral